Molecule: ribosomal RNA, 467 nt
Filed under: uncultured bacterium
Lineage: Bacteria
Description: partial 16S ribosomal RNA
Rfam family: Bacterial small subunit ribosomal RNA
Source: RNAcentral
GACGAACGCUGGCGGCGUGCUUAACACAUGCAGGUCGAACGGAAAGGCCCUGCUUUUGUGGGGUGCUCGAGUGGCGAACGGGUGAGUAACACGUGAGUAACCUGCCCUUGACUUUGGGAUAACUUCAGGAAACUGGGGCUAAUACCGGAUAGGAGCUCCUGCUGCAUGGUGGGGGUUGGAAAGUUUCGGCGGUUGGGGAUGGACUCGCGGCUUAUCAGCUUGUUGGUGGGGUAGUGGCUUACCAAGGCUUUGACGGGUAGCCGGCCUGAGAGGGUGACCGGCCACAUUGGGACUGAGAUACGGCCAGACUCCUACGGGAGGCAGCAGUGGGGAAUAUUGCACAAUGGGCGGAAGCCUGAUGCAGCAACGCCGCGUGCGGGAUGACGGCCUUCGGGUUGUAAACCGCUUUCGCCUGUGACGAAGCGUGAGUGACGGUAAUGGGUAAAGAAGCACCGGCUAACUACGUG